This 490-nucleotide ribosomal RNA is filed under the name uncultured bacterium. RNAcentral's name for it is "partial 16S ribosomal RNA". It matches the Rfam family "Bacterial small subunit ribosomal RNA", at positions 30 to 507 of the family's 1533-position model. The record is from RNAcentral.
AUUGAACGCUGGCGGCAGGCCUAACACAUGCAAGUCGAACGGUAACAGGAAGCAGCUUGCUGCUUUGCUGACGAGUGGCGGACGGGUGAGUAAUGUCUGGGAAACUGCCUGAUGGAGGGGGAUAACUACUGGAAACGGUAGCUAAUACCGCAUAACGUCGCAAGACCAAAGAGGGGGACCUUAGGGCCUCUUGCCAUCGGAUGUGCCCAGAUGGGAUUAGCUAGUAGGUGGGGUAACGGCUCACCUAGGCGACGAUCCCUAGCUGGUCUGAGAGGAUGACCAGCCACACUGGAACUGAGACACGGUCCAGACUCCUACGGGAGGCAGCAGUGGGGAAUAUUGCACAAUGGGCGCAAGCCUGAUGCAGCCAUGCCGCGUGUAUGAAGAAGGCCUUCGGGUUGUAAAGUACUUUCAGCGGGGAGGAAGGGAGUAAAGUUAAUACCUUAGCUCAUUGACGUUACCCGCAGAAGAAGCACCGGCUAACUCCGUG